Non-coding RNA from Maylandia zebra (zebra mbuna), 596 nucleotides. NCBI's taxonomy places the organism in Eukaryota, Metazoa, Chordata, Actinopteri, Cichliformes, Cichlidae. The record is from RefSeq and is a predicted model, not a curated record.
CUGAGCAAUGCGCAGGCUCUCCACAGAGAGUCCAGAGAAGCUGGAACUGUUUGGAUGACCCCUUUUGGAAUCAGGAGGACCCUGAAAGAAGUCUGAGUAGCCUCAGCUCUGCAGACACACACACACCAAGUGAUCUGAGGGCCAUUCCUUUCAUUGUUAGUCCUGUUGAGAUGACACCGCUCACUCCAGUUCCUCCACCUCCUCGAGCAGCUUGUCCAUCGCAAUUGCCUGUUUUCUCUGCUAAACAUUCAGGAGCAGGUCGGUUCAAAGACACGAAGGUCAUUCGUGGAAUAAGAGUCUUGACAGCAAAAGACAAAUUUGGGCCUAUUUUGGAAAAACUGCAGCAUUUCCAGGAUGGGAUUGUAACCUCACCUGGACACACAGUACCAACCAAAACAUUUACUGCAGUAAAGCCUUUGACUCCAAAACCUCCAACAGUUCCCAUACCGCAAAAACGAGGACCUCGGCCUGGGACGCUGCUGCGCCGUGCAAAAGUCGUCCCUAUAGACGACAAGAAAGCAGACAGUCAGUGCAGUCAGAAUAAUCCAAGAGAGAGCAGGGUCAAACUCCCGCCUGUAGCUACACCUGUAGAUAGC